RNAcentral lists this ribosomal RNA (380 nucleotides) under uncultured organism. Its description in RNAcentral is "partial 16S ribosomal RNA". It matches the Rfam family "Bacterial small subunit ribosomal RNA", at positions 526 to 896 of the family's 1533-position model. The record is from RNAcentral.
GGAGGGGAGCUAGCGUUGUUCGGAAUCACUGGGCGUAAAGGGCGCGUAGGGCGGCCGAGUAAGUCGUGUGUGAAAGACCGGGGGCUCAACUCCGUGUACUGCAUGCGAUACUGCCCCGGCUAGAGAAAGGUAGAGGCGAGUGGAAUUCCCGGUGUAGCGGUGGAAUGCGUAGAUAUCGGGAAGAACACCUGUGGCGAAGGCGGCUCGCUGGGCCGUUUUCUUGACGCUGAAGUGCGAAAGCGUGGGAGGUAAACAGGAGUUAGAUACCCUGGUAGUCCACGCCGUAAACGAUGGGCACUAGGCGUUGGGAGGAUUGACCCUCUCAGUGCCGUAGCUAACGCGUUAAGUGCCCCGCCUGGGGAGUACGGCCGCAAAGGCUG